UCCGCCAUGGUGUAAUUGGCAACACAGCGGCCUUUGGAGCCGUUAUUCAAGGUUCGAGUCCUUGUGGCGGAGCUA
RNAcentral lists this transfer RNA (75 nucleotides) under Rothia sp. (in: high G+C Gram-positive bacteria). RNAcentral's name for it is "tRNA-Gln". It matches the Rfam family "tRNA". From Rfam's summary of the family: Transfer RNA (tRNA) molecules are approximately 80 nucleotides in length. Their secondary structure includes four short double-helical elements and three loops (D, anti-codon, and T loops). Lineage: Bacteria; Bacillati; Actinomycetota; Actinomycetes; Micrococcales; Micrococcaceae. The record is from RNAcentral.